This 253-nucleotide ribosomal RNA is filed under the name uncultured bacterium. RNAcentral's name for it is "partial 16S ribosomal RNA". It matches the Rfam family "Bacterial small subunit ribosomal RNA", at positions 524 to 776 of the family's 1533-position model. The record is from RNAcentral.
UACAGAGGGGGCAAGCGUUGUUCGGAAUUACUGGGCGUAAAGGGCGCGUAGGCGGCCUUCUAAGUCGAACGUGAAAUCCCUGGGCUCAACCCAGGAACUGCGUCCGAUACUGGAAGGCUUGAAUCCGGGAGAGGGAUGCGGAAUUCCAGGUGUAGCGGUGAAAUGCGUAGAUAUCUGGAGGAACACCGGUGGCGAAGGCGGCGUCCUGGACCAACACUGACACUGAUGAGCGAAAGCCAGGGGAGCAAACGGG